This 440-nucleotide ribosomal RNA is filed under the name uncultured bacterium. RNAcentral's name for it is "partial 16S ribosomal RNA". It matches the Rfam family "Bacterial small subunit ribosomal RNA", at positions 339 to 795 of the family's 1533-position model. The record is from RNAcentral.
CUACGGGUCGCACCAGUGGGGAAUAUUGGACAAUGGGCGCAAGCCUGAUCCAGCCAUGCCGCGUGAGUGACGAAGGCCUUAGGGUUGUAAAGCUCUUUUGGCGGGGACGAUAAUGACGGUACCCGCAGAAUAAGCUCCGGCUAACUUCGUGCACAGCAGCCGCGGUAAUACGAAGGGAGCUAGCGUUGUUCGGAAUCACUGGGCGUAAAGCGCACGUAGGCGGAUUUGUAAGUCAGGGGUGAAAUCCCGGGGCUCAACCCCGGAACUGCCUUUGAUACUGCAAAUCUCGAGUCCGGAAGAGGUGGGUGGAAUUCCUAGUGUAGAGGUGAAAUUCGUAGAUAUUAGGAAGAACACCGGUGGCGAAGGCGGCCCACUGGUCCGGUACUGACGCUGAGGUGCGAAAGCGUGGGGAGCAAACAGGAUUAGAUACCCGUGUAGUC